AUAUCCGACAGCAAACUGCCCGACAUGCAGGCCGGGUGGGAGCAGGGUAUCACCAACGUGCUGGCCGGCCUUUCCGGGCUGAACAUGAUCUACGAGGCGG
This is a non-coding RNA of Rhodobacteraceae bacterium CG2_30_10_405, 100 nucleotides long. Lineage: Bacteria; Pseudomonadati; Pseudomonadota; Alphaproteobacteria; Rhodobacterales; Paracoccaceae. The record is from Rfam.